This 274-nucleotide small nuclear RNA is filed under the name Notechis scutatus (mainland tiger snake). RNAcentral's name for it is "7SK RNA (ENSNSUG00000012092.1)". It matches the Rfam family "7SK RNA". From Rfam's summary of the family: 7SK was discovered as an abundant small nuclear RNA in the mid-70s but a possible function has only recently been suggested. Two independent studies have found that 7SK RNA binds the CDK9/cyclin T complex (known as elongation factor P-TEFb). P-TEFb activates transcription by phosphorylating the C-terminal domain of RNA polymerase II. The record is from Rfam by way of RNAcentral. Lineage: Eukaryota; Metazoa; Chordata; Lepidosauria; Squamata; Elapidae.
GUAUGUGAGGGUGAACUGGCUGUGACAUCUGUCACCCCAUUGAUUUCCAGGAUUGAUUUGGCUGAUUUGGCUGGCUAGGUGGGUUUCCCUUUCUCCCUUACCAUCCAUGUACAUCCCUCCUGAAGCUGUGUGCUCUGUGGAAGGAGACAGCCAUCCCAGAUAGAAGAAGUAUACCAGUAUUUAGUCAAGGGUGUAUGAUAGCUCACAAUGUAUAGAGAUUUCCACUUCAAGUCCAACACCCACAGAUUUUACACUAGAUAGAAAGAGAGUAUUU